This 292-nucleotide ribosomal RNA is filed under the name uncultured prokaryote. Its description in RNAcentral is "partial 16S ribosomal RNA". It matches the Rfam family "Bacterial small subunit ribosomal RNA", at positions 505 to 796 of the family's 1533-position model. The record is from RNAcentral.
GUGUCAGCAGCCGCGGUAAUACGGAGGGUGCGAGCGUUAAUCGGAAUUACUGGGCGUAAAGCGCGCGUAGGCGGUUAUUUAAGUCGGAUGUGAAAGCCCUGGGCUCAACCUGGGAACUGCAUUCGAUACUGGGUAACUAGAGUACGAGAGAGGGAGGUAGAAUUCCACGUGUAGCGGUGAAAUGCGUAGAUAUGUGGAGGAAUACCAGUGGCGAAGGCGGCCUCCUGGCUCGAUACUGACGCUGAGGUGCGAAAGCGUGGGGAGCAAACAGGAUUAGAAGCCCCAGUAGUCC